This 61-nucleotide transfer RNA is filed under the name Tylos sp. outgroup MM-2013. RNAcentral describes it as "tRNA-Val". The record is from RNAcentral. Lineage: Eukaryota; Metazoa; Arthropoda; Malacostraca; Isopoda; Tylidae.
UCUUUCUAAUUUCAAUUUGUACGAAAGGACUUUUGAAUAUAAAAAAGUUUUUUCUCUAGAA